Molecule: long non-coding RNA, 592 nt
Organism: Mus caroli (Ryukyu mouse)
Lineage: Eukaryota; Metazoa; Chordata; Mammalia; Rodentia; Muridae
Source: RefSeq, a predicted model, not a curated record
GUAGGGGAGGAAGGACAACGGGACUCCUAGGCCAGGAAGCUAACCUAGGCAGAAAGACCUAGAGAGAGGGCACGCAGAGAGCUGCAGGGGUGCUGGGUACCACGCCUCUUCUACAUUCAUCUACAUUCAUCGGCAUCCCCGCCGUGUGCACGCGCCGCCCGUGGCCACACCCCCCAGCCCCACUGCCUUUGUUAGGGUGGAUUGGGCCUCCUUGUAUAAUCAUCCGCUGCAGAGGCUUGGGGAAUCUGGCCUGAGCCCGAGUCUAGAGAAGAAUAGGACUCAGCCGGGUUCCCAGGGGCGUACAGGCCAAGACGGUUUGCCCCACGCACCACAGAUGGGAACUGAAAGUCAAACAGAUCUGCCUCCUGGCUGAAUCUGGAAGGCACUGGCGAAGUUUUCACAGCAAUUUUUUUGUAAUAUAGAUGAAUGGGUUUGAGAACAGCCUGGUCUACACAGUUCCAGACCAGGUUUCUUUGUGUAGCUGUGGCUGACCUCGAACUCUCCGAGACCUUUUGGUCUCAUAUUUUUAUAUCGACUGGGGGCUUUCACCUUGUAGCUGAAGAUGACCUUGAAUUCUAAUACUCUAGUCUCC